Molecule: ribosomal RNA, 405 nt
Filed under: uncultured bacterium
Lineage: Bacteria
Description: partial 16S ribosomal RNA
Rfam family: Bacterial small subunit ribosomal RNA
Source: RNAcentral
GACGAACGCUGGCGGCGUGCUUAACACAUGCAAGUCGAACGAGUGGCGAACGGGUGAGUAACACGUGGGUGACCUGCCCUGCACUUCGGGAUAAGCCUGGGAAACUGGGUCUAAUACCGGAUAGUGUGGGAUGGGCCCGCGGCCUAUCAGCUUGUUGGUGGGGGAAUGGCUACCAAGGCGCGACGGGUAGCCGGCCUGAGAGGGUGGACGGCCACAUUGGACCUGAGACACGGCCCAGAUUCCUACGGGAGGCAGCAGUGGGGAAUAUUGCACAAUGGGCGGAAGCCUGAUGCAGCGACGCCGCGUGUAUGAAGAAGGCCUUAGGGUUGUAAAACUCUGUUGUUAGAAAAGCGGUAUCUAACCAGAAAGCCACGGCUAACUACGUGCCAGCAGCCGCGGUAAUAC